AGAGUUUGAUCCUGGCUCAGGGUGAACGCUAGCUACAGGCUUAACACAUGCAAGUCGAGGGGCAGCAUUUUAGUUUGCUUGCAAACUGAAGAUGGCGACCGGCGCACGGGUGAGUAACACGUAUCCAACCUGCCGAUAACUCCGGGAUAGCCUUUCGAAAGAAAGAUUAAUACCGGAUAGCAUACGAAUAUCGCAUGAUAUUUUUAUUAAAGAAUUUCGGUUAUCGAUGGGGAUGCGUUCCAUUAGUUUGUUGGCGGGGUAACGGCCCACCAAGACUACGAUGGAUAGGGGUUCUGAGAGGAAGGUCCCCCACAUUGGAACUGAGACACGGUCCAAACUCCUACGGGAGGCAGCAGUGAGGAAUAUUGGUCAAUGGGCGCGAGCCUGAACCAGCCAAGUAGCGUGAAGGAUGAAGGCUCUAUGGGUCGUAAACUUCUUUUAUAUGGGAAUAAAGUUUUCCACGUGUGGAAUUUUGUAUGUACCAUAUGAAUAAGGAUCGGCUAACUCCGUGCCAGCAGCCGCGGUAAUACGGAGGAUCCGAGCGUUAUCCGGAUUUAUUGGGUUUAAAGGGAGCGUAGGUGGAUUGUUAAGUCAGUUGUGAAAGUUUGCGGCUCAACCGUAAAAUUGCAGUUGAAACUGGGAGUCUUGAGUACAGUAGAGGUGGGCGGAAUUCGUGGUGUAGCGGUGAAAUGCUUAGAUAUCACGAAGAACUCCGAUUGCGAAGGCAGCUCACUAGACUGUCACUGACACUGAUGCUCGAAAGUGUGGGUAUCAAACAGGAUUAGAUACCCUGGUAGUCCACACAGUAAACGAUGAAUACUCGCUGUUUGCGAUAUACAGUAAGCGGCCAAGCGAAAGCAUUAAGUAUUCCACCUGGGGAGUACGCCGGCAACGGUGAAACUCAAAGGAAUUGACGGGGGCCCGCACAAGCGGAGGAACAUGUGGUUUAAUUCGAUGAUACGCGAGGAACCUUACCCGGGCUUAAAUUGCAACAGAAUAUAUUGGAAACAGUAUAGCCGUAAGGCUGUUGUGAAGGUGCUGCUUGGUUGUCGUCAGCUCGUGCCGUGAGGUGUCGGCUUAAGUGCCAUAACGAGCGCAACCCUUAUCUUUAGUUACUAACAGGUCAUGCUGAGGACUCUAGAGAGACUGCCGUCGUAAGAUGUGAGGAAGGUGGGGAUGACGUCAAAUCAGCACGGCCCUUACGUCCGGGGCUACACACGUGUUACAAUGGGGGGUACAGAAGGCGGCUACCUGGUGACAGGAUGCUAAUCCCAAAAACCUCUCUCAGUUCGGAUCGAAGUCUGCAACCCGACUUCGUGAAGCUGGAUUCGCUAGUAAUCGCGCAUCAGCCAUGGCGCGGUGAAUACGUUCCCGGGCCUUGUACUCACCGCCCGUCA
Molecule: ribosomal RNA, 1397 nt
Filed under: uncultured bacterium
Lineage: Bacteria
Description: 16S ribosomal RNA
Rfam family: Bacterial small subunit ribosomal RNA
Source: RNAcentral